GCCAGAGUGGCGGAAUUGGCAGACGCGCUGGAUUCAAAAUCCAGUGGGGGCAACCCCGUGGGAGUUCAAGUCUCCCCUCUGGUA
RNAcentral lists this transfer RNA (84 nucleotides) under Planctomycetaceae bacterium. RNAcentral describes it as "tRNA-Leu". It matches the Rfam family "tRNA". From Rfam's summary of the family: Transfer RNA (tRNA) molecules are approximately 80 nucleotides in length. Their secondary structure includes four short double-helical elements and three loops (D, anti-codon, and T loops). Further hydrogen bonds mediate the characteristic L-shaped molecular structure. tRNAs have two regions of fundamental functional importance: the anti-codon, which is responsible for specific mRNA codon recognition, and the 3' end, to which the tRNAs corresponding amino acid is attached (by aminoacyl-tRNA synthetases). tRNAs cope with the degeneracy of the genetic code in two manners: having more than one tRNA (with a specific anti-codon) for a particular amino acid; and 'wobble' base-pairing, i.e. permitting non-standard base-pairing at the 3rd anti-codon position. The record is from RNAcentral. Lineage: Bacteria; Pseudomonadati; Planctomycetota; Planctomycetia; Planctomycetales; Planctomycetaceae. RNAcentral also lists the same sequence under 2 other names.